GACGAACGCUGGCGGCGUGCCUAAUACAUGCAAGUAGAACGCACAGUUUAUACCGUAGCUUGCUACACCAUAGACUGUGAGUUGCGAACGGGUGAGUAACGCGUAGGUAACCUGCCUGGUAGCGGGGGAUAACUAUUGGAAACGAUAGCUAAUACCGCAUAAUAUUAUUUAUUGCAUGAUAAUUAAUUGAAAGGUGCAAUUGCACCACUACCAGAUGGACCUGCGUUGUAUUAGCUAGUAGGUGAGGUAACGGCUCACCUAGGCGACGAUACAUAGCCGACCUGAGAGGGUGAUCGGCCACACUGGGACUGAGACACGGCCCAGACUCCUACGGGAGGCAGCAGUAGGGAAUCUUCGGCAAUAGACGAAAGUCUGACCGAGCAACGCCGCGUGAGUGAAGAAGGUUUUCGGAUCGUAAAGCUCUGUUGUAAGAGAAGAACGGGUGUGAGAGUGGAAAGUUCACACUGUGACGGUAUCUUACCAGAAAGGGACGGCUAACUACGUG
This 505-nucleotide ribosomal RNA is filed under the name uncultured bacterium. RNAcentral describes it as "partial 16S ribosomal RNA". It matches the Rfam family "Bacterial small subunit ribosomal RNA", at positions 28 to 507 of the family's 1533-position model. The record is from RNAcentral.